GAUGAACGCUGGCGGCGUGCCUAAUACAUGCAAGUAGAACGCUGAAGGAGGAGCUUGCUCUUCUGGAUGAGUUGCGAACGGGUGAGUAACGCGUAGGUAACCUGCCUGGUAGCGGGGGAUAACUAUUGGAAACGAUAGCUAAUACCGCAUGACAACAGUUAUUGCAUGAUAACUGUUUAAAAGGGGCAACUGCUCCACUACCAGAUGGACCUGCGUUGUAUUAGCUAGUUGGUGAGGUAACGGCUCACCAAGGCGACGAUACAUAGCCGACCUGCGAGGGUGAUCGGCCACACUGGGACUGAGACACGGCCCAGACUCCUACGGGAGGCAGCAGUAGGGAAUCUUCGGCAAUGGACGGAAGUCUGACCGAGCAACGCCGCGUGAGUGAAGAAGGGUUUCGGAUCGUAAAGCUCUGUUGUAAGAGAAGAACGAGUGUGAGAGUGGAAAGUUCACACUGUGACGGUAUCUUACCAGAAAGGGACGGCUAACUACGUG
RNAcentral lists this ribosomal RNA (495 nucleotides) under uncultured bacterium. RNAcentral describes it as "partial 16S ribosomal RNA". It matches the Rfam family "Bacterial small subunit ribosomal RNA", at positions 28 to 507 of the family's 1533-position model. The record is from RNAcentral.